GUACUCACUUCGAUGGUACAUAUACUAGAAUUGGAAUGAUACAAAGAAGAUUAGCACUGCAUUUGAAUAAGGAUAACGCGCAAAAUCGUGAGGCGUUCCAUAAUUUU
This is a non-coding RNA of Schistosoma curassoni, 107 nucleotides long. The record is from Rfam. NCBI's taxonomy places the organism in Eukaryota, Metazoa, Platyhelminthes, Trematoda, Strigeidida, Schistosomatidae.